AAGAGUGCAGGGGGAGAGGGAACAGUUAUUUCUCAAGCCAUUAAUACAGUUCUUACACGACUCUGCCUCCUGGCCCACAGUGAUAGACCCACAGUUGGGAGUGGACCACACAGUGGGCCAGCUGUAGAGCCUGAGACUGGGUAAGAGAUGGACAUCUGACCCAAGUAGGGACAGUGCAGUGCGUGCUUGGAAUUGAUGACCUAGGGACCAGAGAGCAGUGCUCAUUGUCUCUUUGUGGCGGGGUUAGCAGCUCUGAAGUCAUUGGGAUGGCAUUUCCCGCCAGGUGGAAGAAGCUGACCUGUAGUUGAAGAACUGAUACCCACACCCAGAGCUGCAGAGAGAGGGUGCAUAACAGCAGCAUGCCAGAUCCAUUUCCAGCUCUUCUGAGGUGCAGCCACACCUUGACCUUCCUGCAGUCCUCUUAGCCUUCCAAAUACAUUUACCUUUGAGUGUAAAUGAAUUUAAGGGAGCUAAUGAACCAUGACAAGAACAAAAGGCCGGCAGCCAAGAGGAGGGGGAAACAGGAGCUGGCAGACCUGACCGGACCGCGGCUCCUAAGCUGUUUGUUUCCCUUCUCAAAGGCGCAAAAAAAGAACCCAGGUAUGAAGUCAAAGAAAGAGCAGUGGGGAAGCCUGAAAAAAGUUCAAAGUGCAGGACAAAGGCAGAGCUGGAGCUGUUCCUGCACCUGUGGGCACGAAAUAAUUGCCUUAAGAGCACCCGAAUUGAAGCAGAGAAGGUGGGGACACAUUUCUUGGCCCUUUGAUGAACAAACUGAAGAUCACUGUUCUGGCUUUCCAACUGCAGAAGCUGUGAUGUGGCAGGAAGAGUUGGGACUGUGCAGCCAGGCUAGCUCUCCCAUGUCCCUCGUCCAUCCUUCAUUGCCCACUCACUUGCCGAGAGCUGCUGAGGUUCAAGCACCCAGGAUAUCCAGGUGGGCCACAUUCGGCAGGGCAUUGUGACUUGGCGCCAAGUCUUUCAGCCUCCCUCCAUCUCACUUUCUUUACCUGCAAAUAACAAUACCGCAGACCCCUCACAAGCAGAACUGGUUCAGCUGGUGCUUGGUAGGUAGUCAAAAUCAACCUUCAAGAGUCGGUGUCCUGGAGCUCAGCAGCUGUCCCGGGCCUGGAAGAUGGGGUGUGCUCCUGCUCCGUCUCCUUGUGUGGUUCUGGAGUGGGGGAUCUGCACAGCCUGUGGGGUCCCCAGAGAGCCUGGGGCUGCUGCAGAGCAAGUUCUCUGUUGUUGGCAAAUAAAGCCAUAGCAGAGAUGACUCCAGUAAGCUGAGCACCCUCUGAACAAAGAAGGAAAUGUAUUUGCUCUUUCCUGAGGCCUAUUAAAUAUUGGAAAAAACACUGCCAGAUUUAACUUCAAAAUGUAAUUUUUCCAUUAUGGCUGGAGUGCACUCCCCGGCCAUCCAAAGGCUUCUAAAUGCAUUGGGGGCUCAGUUACGACCCUCACCAAGUUGUCUUGUCUCACCUGGAACCCACUGGCCCUCACAGAGUUGAGAGAAUAUUCAUUUUCUUGAACUCUUAUCAACAACAGUUUCUCGCUUGCCAUGAUUCCAUGAAACUGGGCAGCCCGCAUCUCAGAGAUAGGAAGUCAGAGAAAUUCUAUACAUAGGCUGUAUUUGCUGAGAAGACAAAGAGACUAUUUUCCAUUUCUCACUUCUCUCUCAAAGUGCAAAAACAACGGGCCUGUCUGGCCUAGUCACUGCUUUCUGUCUCUGAAGUGUUCCAGGCGCCAGCACCAGCCUUCCUCCUCAUUAACGUUCCAUGAUGACUCCUUCCAGGUGCUGGGGAUCCAGCCCACGGGGUUAUUAGAGGGCAGACACCAACAGGGAAGGUGCUGUUGACUCACCCUCACAAAUAUCAUUCCUUACAUUGUCAGGGCAAUUACAAAACACGACUUUAAAAAAUGCAAUAAUAAAAUAUCCAACUGAAGACUUUCACUAUAAUUAAUCCGCCAAUCUUAUAUUUUGAGAAGGUCGAGAGCCGUGAGGGAAAAUAAACCCUAGAGAAAUGCAUUGUUUUUAAAUUCUUUCAGUAAAGACAUGUAGGCAUUUUCUAAUGUUUUUCCCAAAAAGAAUAUCUACCCCUCUAAUUCCACAAGAGCUAUAAAGAAUUAAAGAAAUUGUGAUUAACAGCCCUGCAUCUGGAGCUCAUGAAGCUCAGAGGAUUGGGAAUGAAGUGGCAGGUUUAGGUUCGAAUCAGAACUUCUGGAUUUAAGAAAACAAAACAGGCCAGGCGCAGUGGCUCACACCUGUAAUCCCAGCACUUUGGGAGGCCAAGGCGGGAGGAUCACCUGAGGUCAGGAGCUUGAGACCAGCCUGCCCAACAUGAGAAACCCUGUGUCUACUAAGAAUAAAAAAAUUAGCCAGGCAUGGUGGUGCACGCCUGUUAAUCCCCGCUACUUGGGAGUUUGAGGCAGGAGAAUCCUUUGAACCCGGGAAGCAGAGGUUGCAGUGAGCCGAGAUGGAGCCACUGCACUCCAGCCUGGGCCACAGAGCGAGACUCCGUCUCAAACAAACAAACAACACAAAAUGCAAAUUCUGGCCAGGCAUGGUGGCUCAUAUCUGUAAUCCCAGCACCUUGGGCGGCCAAGGUAGCGUAUCACUUGAGGUCAGGAGUUCAAGACCAGCCUGGCCAACAUGGUGAAACCCCGUCUCUACUAAAAAUACAAAAAUUAGCCAGGUGUGGUGUUGUGCACCUGUAGUCCCAGCUACUCGGAAGGCUGAGGCAGGAGAAUCGCCUGAACCUGGGUGACAGAGGUUGCAGUGAGCACAGACCGUGACACUGCACCCCAACCUGAGUGACAGAGUGACUCCAUUAAAAACACACACACAGAUUGCAGAUUCCCGGGCCCCAUCCUCGCCUUUCUGAAUUGGAGCCUUUCAUCCUUUAAGAAUGAGAGGGUGAAAUCUGCAUGUCAUACAGAUAGCCCAGGGUCUAUUAAUCUGAUGUUGCUCCCCAGCUCCCUCCAACACCAUCAGAGGGUGCACGGAUUAGGCCACUGUCGAGUGCAGAGAAGGAUCCUAGGUGCCGCGUGGCUGUGCCAAAGCAGCAGAAACAGGUGGUGUGCCUUAAGAUGCAUGCUCCAAAGCUGUCCGCAAGGCCUCUGGUACAGGCUUCCAGGUCUGCGUCUCGGCUUCCCCGACAGUGUCCAUGCGACACUGUCACCAGUUUCUCCUGUCACAAGCAGAAAAUCAAAUUCGGAUUGAGCAAAUGAUUCCCUGCCCGGGUGUGGAAGAAGGGUCAAGUCCUAAGGAUGGAGAGAGCGCCGGCUCCUGCCAGGAUCCGCGAAGCUCGGGAGGAGAGGCCAAGCCACCAGGCACCCGGCGGGAGAGGAGGCAGCGGGAGGGCGACGCCCAGUGCCUGCAGGCCGGGCGGUCCACGCCUCCCCUCCCCCUGCACACCCUAUUCCCUUCCGGUUGCCCCGCCCGGGGAAGCCCCCUCCCACACCUGCCCGCCCAGCAUCUGCACGAGAGCCGCGAGCCCUGGCCGCAGAGCUGGGAGUGGGCCGCUCACCUCAGACGGCGGCCGCAGCCCGGCCCUGACCACCGGCCGCCUGAGCCCUCCGUUCGCUCGGCGCGAGAGCCGCCACCCGCCCUUACCCCCAUCCAGUCCGAGGCCAGCCCCGUAGGCUCCGAGCCUGCUCCGUGAGAAGCCUUUUCCCCAGAAGGAGAGUUACUGGAAAGCAAGAGGAAGCCGAGGAGAGGCGGCGGCUGCAGCGCGUGGGGCCGGGCGGGGGCGCGGGGCGUCCGGCCACGGACUGGGCAGCGCGGUGUCCCCUCAGCCUGGGACACGGCGCGGCGCCGGCGCCACCCAGCGGACGCAGCGGGAAUUGCGCUCCCUCCCUACCGGGGGCUCCGGACACACAGACCAAGAACGACGCCUGCACCUGAAUAAACGCUCGGGACCAGGCCGCUAUCGUCCCUCUGCUGGGAGUGAGUCAAGUCUCAGCAAAAGAAGAAACCGCCUUGGCCGUAAUUCCAAGAGUGCUGAUGAAGACGGUGACAUCUGACGUUUCAAGGGCACUUUCCAUUUCCUCCGGUGUGCGCGUUCCGGGCCAGUGGAGCGCUGCGCCGCCGGUGCUGGACCUGGAGGUCUACAGGACUGUGACAAGUCGGAGUCUCGGAGUCCUGGGUUAAACAUCAGUCGGGAGCAUUCCUUCAUUCCCUGAGCUCCCCUUGCCCUUCACCCUUUGGUCCCUGAAGCCGGAAGGGAGACUGCCCCGCCCCUUGCCUGCCGCCCGUGUGGCUCUCCCGGGGCCCUCAUGGCCCCUCUUUCCCAGCCCUCCAAACGGUGAAGGGUUGUUUCUACUGGUGACUUCCACCUGUGGGAGCAGAGAAAGGAAGCGGGGCAGGGGAGAAGGGGAAGGUCAGGCGAUUCCCCUCCUUGCGCUGCAAGCCGGGAAAUAGAACACCUGCAGCCCUCCCCGGCGCCCUGCGAAUAGGUGGGAGUGGGAACACCACCAGGGCAGAGCCCCUCCAGCUGGCUGGGGUCUGCACCUCCUCGCCAGCCCGGCCACUCAAAACGGUGCUCGCCUCCCUGCUGGGGUGUAGAAGCCUCUUGGAGCACCACUUGUAGAAAAUCAAGUCCCUGGAAAGAAGCAAAAUUAAUCCGUUUGUUUCUCUAUUUAUUUUUGCUUCCCCACACCCAGUAUUCACUUCAUCCAAGGCUGCCCAGUGUCACCUCCCACCCAGAGGAAUCUGCCCUCUCCACCCCAGGCCAACAGCCUCUGCCUUCAGCCGUGGUCCUCCACUCUGGCAUUACUCUGGGCAGAGGGCUCAGGAGGGCUCAAGGAGGACCAAUGACAUUCAGAGUGGCCAGAGUAAAGGGA
This 4836-nucleotide long non-coding RNA is filed under the name Rhinopithecus bieti (black snub-nosed monkey). RNAcentral's name for it is "lncRNA (ENSRBIG00000046742.1)". The record is from RNAcentral. Lineage: Eukaryota; Metazoa; Chordata; Mammalia; Primates; Cercopithecidae.